AGAACGAACGCUGGCGGCAUGCCUAACACAUGCAAGUCGAACGAUCUCUUCGGAGAUAGUGGCGCACGGGUGCGUAACGCGUGGGAAUCUGCCCUUGGGUUCGGAAUAACAGUUGGAAACGACUGCUAAUACCGGAUGAUGACGUUAAGUCCAAAGAUUUAUCGCCCAGGGAUGAGCCCGCGUAGGAUUAGCUAGUUGGUGAGGUAAGGCUCACCAAGGCGACGAUCCUUAGCUGGUCUGAGAGGAUGAUCAGCCACACUGGGACUGAGACACGGCCCAGACUCCGUACGGGAGCAGCAGGUAGGGAAUAUUGGGAACAAGUGGGACGAAAGCCUGACUCCAGACAAUCGCCGCGUGAGUGAUGGAAGCCGUUAGGGUUAGUAAAGGCUUACCGUUUACCGAGUA
Molecule: ribosomal RNA, 405 nt
Filed under: uncultured soil bacterium
Lineage: Bacteria
Description: bacterial SSU rRNA
Rfam family: Bacterial small subunit ribosomal RNA
Source: RNAcentral